This is a long non-coding RNA of Lagopus muta (rock ptarmigan), 2295 nucleotides long. RefSeq lists it as uncharacterized. The transcript is spliced from 4 exons. NCBI's taxonomy places the organism in Eukaryota, Metazoa, Chordata, Aves, Galliformes, Phasianidae. The record is from RefSeq and is a predicted model, not a curated record.
UCAUUUAGUGCAAGAGUGUGCAAAAACAAGGUUUAGAAAUGCUGGGUUACGGCUGUGUGAGCUGCCUGGGACUGUGGAGCACUGUGCUUGAGUUACUCCUUCUUGGAAUUCUCAAGCUGAGCUCUUCAGAAUCCUCAAGGGAUCAUACUCCUGCUGUUUCCUCAGAGAGCCUAAGAAAUCCACAGAGAAAUUCAGCUCCUGGAAAGGGUCUGAUCUGCAGAUCUACAUUGAGAACAAAGUAGCUGAAAUAUUAUUCUUUCCUGCCUGACUGAAAUCCAAAUCAACAGGUGCUGAACUUAAGAAUUAGAAAGUCAUGUGACCCAACAGAAUGUGAAAUCCAUGGGUUGUGAUCUACCAACGUUUAAAAAAUGUGUUUUCAUGGUCAUUGGUGUAAAGGUAAGUUGGAGCCAUACGCUCAGGGCACACUCUUGCUCUGGUGUAUUACACAUGGAUACAUGCAAAAGCUAGUUACUGCUUUGUAAAGUUUGAUCCCAUCACAGAGUAAUUUACAAAGUGUAGCUUUGCAUCAUAGAAUCAGCAGAAUCAAAGUAGUAGUACUCUUUGUCCCUUUCCUCUCUAGAAAAGUCUUUCAGACAUCUCUACACAAACUCCUGAUUUCAGAAUGAGAGUGUUUCAUCAGUGACACAGAGUUGUGUCACUUAAGAUCAACCUCCAUAAAAGGAUCCAGGAAAUUGGCACUGUGAAAAGAAUUGUAUGAAAUUAUUUUUACUAGGAAUUAAGUCUUUUUUGGAGAAACCUACCUGUCUCUUCCAACAAGAUUAAGAGGAAUUACCUCCAAACAUUACUGGAAAAUGCAUUCCCUAGGAACCUAUAUUCCAGAAGGCCAAGAUAAUAACUUUCCUAAGCACUCAGGUGAUGGAGGAGCAUCAUGUGAGUAUGAAGCAACCCUGCCCUUCAGAACCAAGAUGCCCAACACGCAACACUGUCACUACAAACACUGUUUUGCAGACAAGCCAGAAUGGCAAGCAAAUGAACACAAGGCACACAGCUCGGAAUAAAUUCUUCAGUGAAAGCUUUUGCUGAAGAAAACUGUUACCAAGUGGUUCUCUGUGGUUCUGCCCACAGCUACUCCCUUCAGUUUAAAAAUGGCAGCCAGAGCUCCUCUCCACAACUGCUGCAAGGAGCAGUUCGGAUGUACAAGGUGAGGAACUGGAUUUACACUGAACAAACACCACUCUUUCAGUGGGACAAGAAUCACUCACUGCAAAAAAAGUUGUGCUAUGAUCUCCUCAGGCUUUCUUUUUUUCUUUUAAAGCUUAUAGAACUUCCAGCACCACAGGUCAUCCACUUGCUCUAGGCAAGGUUUGCUUUGCAGAUGAUGGAUGUGGGAAGUAUUAAAUUACACAGCCCUAUCUGUAUCCUGCUAUUAGAUUCUAAGUGCCCACUCACGUCUUUUGCCUUAGCAGAAACUGCCACACGGAUGUGUGUGUGCUGGGGGCUAUUUGUUUCAAUCAUUUCAAUUUUCUUUUAAGGAGAUGCUACUGCACAGUCACCCUCAUCUGGUUGCAUUCAGCUGUAGCUAGCAGUGUUUGCACAGCAUUCCUGCAGCACCCACGCUUGCCAGCUACACACAGAGCUGAUUACACGUCUGCACAACACGAACACAGUCACUAUGGCACAAACUUCCUGGGAAUUUGUCCAGGCCUGAAUCACAGAAUCAUAGGGAUUAGAAGAGACCUCUGGAGAUCCCCCAGCUCAACCCUCCUAAAGCAGUUCCCUGCAGCAGCUCAUACGGGAAAGCAUCCAGGCAAGUACUGAAAGUCUCCAGAGAAGGAGAUUCCACAGCCUCUCCGGGCAGCUGUUCCAAUGCUCUGUUACCCUCAUAGGAAAGUUAUUCCACAUGUUUGUAAAGAACUUCUUAUGUUCCAGUUUGUGCCCCUUGUCCUGUCACUGCACACCACAGCAAAGAGCCUCGCCCCAUCCACUUAAAGUUGUUCCAUAUCACUGCACCACACAUCCACACAGACAGACCCAUAACCAGGCAGCCUGCUUUACCUACAGCUCUGAAUGCAAUCUCCAAGAAAUAUUCUAUCAGAAAUAAACUGUGUGGCUCACGGAGAAAAAAAAAACAACCAAAAACAAUAAAAAUGCUGAAUGGCAUCUGUAAGUAAGAGACAGCGUCCAGAGGUGCAUGCUAUCACCUUUUUAUUCAGUCCCAAACACGAGGAGACGGAAUGAAAGUUUGCACUGUUUUCUAGCGAUCUGGGCACGGAAGCCAGCCUCUCAGCGUGUUUGUGCAACAAUCCACAGAGCUUACAGAUGUUAGAAGGACCG